RNAcentral lists this ribosomal RNA (494 nucleotides) under uncultured bacterium. RNAcentral's name for it is "partial 16S ribosomal RNA". It matches the Rfam family "Bacterial small subunit ribosomal RNA", at positions 28 to 507 of the family's 1533-position model. The record is from RNAcentral.
GACGAACGCUGGCGGCGCGCUUAACACAUGCAAGUCGAACGGAAAGGCCUGCUUUCCCUUGUGGAUUGCGGGUACUCGAGUGGCGAACGGGUGAGUAACACGUGAGUGAUCUGCCCCCAACUUGGGUAUAAGCCUGGGAAACUGGGUCUAAUUCCCGAUAGGACUGCAGGGUGGUGCCUGUGGUGGAAAACGAUUUUCUAGUGGUUGGGGAUGAGCUCGCGGCCUAUCAGCUUGUUGGUGGGGUAAUGGCCUACCAAGGCGGCGACGGGUAGCCGGCCUGAGAGGAUGGACGGCCACAUUGGGACUGAGAUACGGCCCAGACUCCUACGGGAGGCAGCAGUGGGGAAUAUUACACAAUGGGCGGAAGCCUGAUGCAGCGACGCCGCGUGGGGGAUGACGGCCUUCGGGUUGUAAACUCCUUUCGACCGCGAGGAAGCCACCUGGUUGGAAGGGUGGUGACGGUAGUGGUAGAAGAAGCACCGGCUAACUACGUG